GGAGAUCAGAAGCGAGAAUGUUGACAUGAGUAGCGACAAAGAGGGUGAGAGACCCUCUCGCCGAAAGUCCAAGGGUUCCUGCUUAAAGCUAAUCUGAGCAGGGUGAGCCGGCCCCUAAGGCGAGGCCGAAAGGCGUAGUCGAUGGGAACUAGGUUAAUAUUCCUAGGCCAGUGGGAAGUGACGGAUCUCGAAGGUUGUCUGCCCUUAUCGGAUUGGGUGGGCCGCUUAGAGGUUCCUGGAAAUAGCCCCACAUCAGACCGUACCCUAAACCGACACAGGUGGACUGGUAGAGUAUACCAAGGCGCUUGAGAGAACCACGUUAAAGGAACUCGGCAAAAUGCCUCCGUAAGUUCGCGAGAAGGAGGCCCCAUCAGUAGGCAACUAUUGGUGGGGGGCACAAACUAGGGGGUGGCGACUGUUUACUUAAAACACAGGGCUGUGCGAAGCCGUAAGGCGACGUAUACAGUCUGACGCCUGCCCGGUGCUGGAAGAUUAAGAGGAGGGGUGCAAGCUCUGAAUUGAAGUCCCAGUAAACGGCGGCCGUAACAAUAACGGUCCUAAGGUAGCGAAAUUCCUUGUCGGGUAAGUUCCGACCUGCACGAAUGGCGUAACGAUCUCCCCGCUGUCUCUAACGUGGACUCAGCGAAAUUGAACUGUGUGUCAAGAUGCACACUUCCCGCGGUUAGACGGAAAGACCCCAUGCACCUUUACUCUAGCUUUGCACUGGCAUCAGGAUUGUGAUGUGCAGGAUAGGUGGUAGGCAUUGAAGCGGGGACGCCAGUCUUCGUGGAGCCUCCCUUGAGAUACCACCCUUCGCACUCUUGAUGUCUAACCGCGGCCCGUUAUCCGGGUCCGGGACCCUGCAUGGUGGGGAGUUUGACUGGGGCGGUCGCCUCCUAAACAGUAACGGAGGCGCGCGAUGGUUGGCUCAGACCGGUCGGAAAUCGGUCGUUGAGUGCAAUGGCAGAAGCCAGCCUGACUGCAAGUCUGACAAGACGAGCAGAGACGAAAGUCGGUCAUAGUGAUCCGGUGGUCCCAAGUGGGAGGGCCAUCGCUCAACGGAUAAAAGGUACGCUGGGGAUAACAGGCUGAUGAUGCCCAAGAGUCCAUAUCGACGGCAUCGUUUGGCACCUCGAUGUCGGCUCAUCUCAUCCUGGGGCUGGAGCAGGUCCCAAGGGUAUGGCUGUUCGCCAUUUAAAGAGGUACGUGAGCUGGGUUUAGAACGUCGUGAGACAGUUCGGUCCCUAUCUGCCGUGGGUGUAGGAGACUUGAGAAGAGUUGCCCCUAGUACGAGAGGACCGGGGUGAACGAACCACUGGUGGACCAGUUAUCGUGCCAACGGUAGUGCUGGGUAGCUAUGUUCGGACAGGAUAAACGCUGAAGGCAUCUAAGCGUGAAGCCCCCUUCAAAACAAGGUCUCCCUUGAGAGCCGUGGAAGACCACCACGUCGAUAGGCCGGAGGUGUAAGUGCAGCAAUGCAUUCAGCUGACCGGUACUAAUUGCUC
Molecule: ribosomal RNA, 1505 nt
Filed under: metagenome
Description: bacterial LSU rRNA
Rfam family: Bacterial large subunit ribosomal RNA
Source: RNAcentral